Long non-coding RNA from Anneissia japonica, 1008 nucleotides. RefSeq lists it as uncharacterized. The record is from RefSeq and is a predicted model, not a curated record. The transcript is spliced from 3 exons. Lineage: Eukaryota; Metazoa; Echinodermata; Crinoidea; Comatulida; Comatulidae.
GUUUGGUACUAGUACUGUAUAACAUAGGUAUGAUGUCUUGGCGCCUGAUUUUACGUAUACAAUAGAAGCGAGCUGACAAAAUACAUCAUGAAGAUAAUCAAUUUGAACAUAAAGGAAAGAGCAGCUGGAUGGUGUUCAUGGAGAGCAGUACCAAGACAGAUAUUAAGCAUCUUUAAUUGUUACGACGCAGGAUGUAAAUCAGAUACUAUGGUCAGAUAUGUUUUAAUCGAUAUGCAAGCUACAUGUAAACAGGUGGACUCGUCAUUUUGUCUCUGCAUCCCUGCUGUUACAGACAGUUAUGUUUAGCAUUCUUGUUUGUAUUUUUGAAGAGACCUGGGACUUUCAGAUGAUGGGAAAUUUAUAUUUUCUCUGAAUCAACUUACUAUUGAGAACAGAUUGUUCAAAACUCCAUACCCUUUUUGUGAAAAAAAAAUUUACACACUAAUUACUGCACAUAUUAACACAAAGUGCAAUAACAUAUUUUGUUGUGCAGUACUAUAAUAUAGUGUGAAUAUAUUGAAUUUUCUACUUAUAAAGUGCAAUAGCAAUUUGUACAAACAUAACUGUCAGUAUUAACCUGAUUGCAUACCUUUAAUUUGGAUGAUGACAUAAUUAAUAUCAAAGUAUUGAAUCCCUAAACUCUGAGCAUGUAUUAUUCUAUCUGUAUCUGAGAUUAAUAAGUGAACCUGUUUAAUUUGGAUUCUUGUAUUUUUUAAAGGUUUAUUUUGUUCAUUAAAAAUAUAACAUGUAGAACAUAAUGUUUGUGUCUAUUUAUAAACUGAGGUGUAAGAAGAAUGAUGAUUGUAAAUGAUACUGGCUAUUUUUACAGAUGAAUAUUGGAUCAUUGUUUACAUUUAUUUAUAUUUUAAAUUUUCUUUAUUUUAGAGCCAUCCUAAUUAUUGCCAUCAAAGUAUAAAACGUUCUUCAAUGCAAGCCUGUAUUUAUCAUAUAUUAGCUGAAUAAAAAUAAUAUAUAUAUUAUACAAUUAUUAUUUUAACAUUUAACAAC